RNAcentral lists this ribosomal RNA (274 nucleotides) under uncultured bacterium. Its description in RNAcentral is "partial 16S ribosomal RNA". It matches the Rfam family "Bacterial small subunit ribosomal RNA", at positions 523 to 796 of the family's 1533-position model. The record is from RNAcentral.
CUACGGAGGUUGCAAGCGUUGUUCGGAAUUACUGGGCGUAAAGCGCGCGUAGGUGGUCUGUUAUGUCAGAUGUGAAAGUCCACGGCUCAACCGUGGAAGUGCAUUUGAAACUGGCAGACUUGAGUACUGGAGGGGGUAGUGGAAUUCCCGGUGUAGAGGUGAAAUUCGUAGAUAUCGGGAGGAAUACCGGUGGCGAAGGCGACUACCUGGCCAGAUACUGACACUGAGGUGCGAAAGCGUGGGGAGCGAACAGGAUUAGAAACCCGGGUAGUCC